UGACAAGAAAUAACAAUACAAGGCAGUUAAAAUGCUUUGUAAUUGGAAUGAUAGAAAUUUAAACACUUUUUAAAGUAUCAAUUGGAGGGCAAGUCUGGUGCCAGCAGCCGCGGUAAUUCCAGCUCCAAUAGCGUAUAUUAAAAUUGUUGCAGUUAAAAAGCUCGUAGUUGAAUUUCUGUUAAAAAUAACCGGUCUGCUUUUAAUAAAAGUGGUAUCUUGGUGUGUUUUUAGCAAUAAUGUCCUUUGAAAUGUUUUUUACUUUAUUGUAAUAAAUAAUAUUCAGGAUUUUUACUUUGAGAAAAUUAGAGUGUUUCUAGCAGGCUAACGCUUUGAAUACUGCAGCAUGGAAUAAUAAGAUAGGAUUUUAGUUCUACAUUAUUGGUUUUAAGAACUAAAUUAAUGAUUGAUAGGGACAGUUGGGGGCAUUUGUAUUUAACUGUCAGAGGUGAAAUUCUUAGAUUUGUUAAAGACAAACUACUGCGAAAGCAUUUGCCAAAGAUGUUUUCAUUAAUCAAGAACGAAAGUUAGGGGAUCGAAGACGA
RNAcentral lists this ribosomal RNA (542 nucleotides) under Hepatozoon felis. RNAcentral's name for it is "bacterial SSU rRNA". It matches the Rfam family "Eukaryotic small subunit ribosomal RNA", at positions 468 to 1007 of the family's 1831-position model. The record is from RNAcentral. Lineage: Eukaryota; Apicomplexa; Hepatozoidae.